Molecule: ribosomal RNA, 730 nt
Filed under: uncultured bacterium
Lineage: Bacteria
Description: bacterial SSU rRNA
Rfam family: Bacterial small subunit ribosomal RNA
Source: RNAcentral
GAUGAACGCUGACAGAAUGCUUAACACAUGCAAGUCGACUUGAAGCAACUUCGGUUGUGGAAAGUGGCGGACGGGUGAGUAACGCGUAAAGAACUUGCCCUUCAGUCUGGGACAACCAUUGGAAACGAUGGCUAAUACCGGAUAUUAUGGAACUCUCGCAUGGGAGGAUCAUGAAAGCUAUAUGCGCUGAAGGAGAGCUUUGCGUUCCAUUAGCUAGUUGGUGAGGUAACGGCUCACCAAGGCGACGAUGGAUAGCCGGCCUGAGAGGGUGAUCGGCCACAAGGGGACUGAGACACGGCCCUUACUCCUACGGGAGGCAGCAGUGGGGAAUAUUGGACAAUGGACCAAAAGUCUGAUCCAGCAAUUCUGUGUGCACGAUGAAGGUUUUCGGAUCGUAAAGUGCUUUCAGUUGGGAAGAAGAAAGUGACGGUACCAACAGAAGAAGCGACGGCUAAAUACGUGCCAGCAGCCGCGGUAAUACGUAUGUCGCAAGCGUUAUCCGGAUUUAUUGGGCGUAAAGCGCGUCUAGGCGGGUUCAUAAGUCUGAUGUUAAAAUGCGGGGCUCAACUCCGUAUUGCGUUGGAAACUGUGAACCUAGAGUAUCAGAGAGGUGGGCGGAACUACAGGUGUAGAGGUGAAAUUCGUAGAUAUUUGUAGGAAUGCCGAUGGAGAAGUCAGCUCACUGGAUGAAUACUGACGCUAAAGCGCGAAAGCGUGGGUAGCAAACAGG